RNAcentral lists this ribosomal RNA (497 nucleotides) under uncultured bacterium. Its description in RNAcentral is "partial 16S ribosomal RNA". It matches the Rfam family "Bacterial small subunit ribosomal RNA", at positions 28 to 507 of the family's 1533-position model. The record is from RNAcentral.
GAUGAACGCUGGCGGCGUGCCUAAUACAUGCAAGUCGAGCGAACAGACGAGGAGCUUGCUCCUCUGACGUUAGCGGCGGACGGGUGAGUAACACGUGGAUAACCUACCUAUAAGACUGGGAUAACUUCGGGAAACCGGAGCUAAUACCGGAUAAUAUAUUGAACCGCAUGGUUCAAUAGUGAAAGACGGUUUUGCUGCCACUUAUAGAUGGAUCCGCGCCGCAUUAGCUAGUUGGUAAGGUAACGGCUUACCAAGGCAACGAUGCGUAGCCGACCUGAGAGGGUGAUCGGCCACACUGGAACUGAGACACGGUCCAGACUCCUACGGGAGGCAGCAGUAGGGAAUCUUCCGCAAUGGGCGAAAGCCUGACGGAGCAACGCCGCGUGAGUGAUGAAGGUCUUCGGAUCGUAAAACUCUGUUAUUAGGGAAGAACAAAUGUGUAAGUAACUAUGCACGUCUUGACGGUACCUAAUCAUAAAGCCACGGCUAACUACGUG